GUGGGGAAUAUUGGACAAUGGGCGAAAGCCUGAUCCAGCCAUGCCGCGUGUGUGAAGAAGGUCUUCGGAUUGUAAAGCACUUUAAGUUGGGAGGAAGGGUAGUAACCUAAUACGUUGCUACUUUGACGUUACCGACAGAAUAAGCACCGGCUAACUUCGUGCCAGCAGCCGCGGUAAUACGAAGGGUGCAAGCGUUAAUCGGAAUUACUGGGCGUAAAGCGCGCGUAGGUGGUUUUGUAAGUUGGAGGUGAAAUCCCCGGGCUCAACCUGGGAACUGCCUCCAAAACUGCAUAACUAGAGUACGGUAGAGGGUAGUGGAAUUUCCUGUGUAGCGGUGAAAUGCGUAGAUAUAGGAAGGAACACCAGUGGCGAAGGCGACUACCUGGACUGAUACUGACACUGAGGUGCGAAAGCGUGGGGAGCAAACAGGAUUAGAAACCCGGGUAGUCC
Molecule: ribosomal RNA, 450 nt
Filed under: uncultured bacterium
Lineage: Bacteria
Description: partial 16S ribosomal RNA
Rfam family: Bacterial small subunit ribosomal RNA
Source: RNAcentral